GCGUUGUCCGGAAUUAUUGGGCGUAAAGAGCUCGUAGGCGGUCUGUCACGUCGGCUGUGAAAACCCGAGGCUCAACCUCGGGCCUGCAGUCGAUACGGGCAGACUAGAGUUCGGUAGGGGAGACUGGAAUUCCUGGUGUAGCGGUGAAAUGCGCAGAUAUCAGGAGGAACACCGGUGGCGAAGGCGGGUCUCUGGGCCGAAACUGACGCUGAGGAGCGAAAGCGUG
RNAcentral lists this ribosomal RNA (226 nucleotides) under uncultured bacterium. Its description in RNAcentral is "partial 16S ribosomal RNA". It matches the Rfam family "Bacterial small subunit ribosomal RNA", at positions 538 to 763 of the family's 1533-position model. The record is from RNAcentral.